CCGUCAAUUCAUUUGAGUUUCACACUUGCGUGCAUACUCCCCAGGCGGAGGACUCACUGCGUUAACUGCAGCACUGGGUCUUCCCCAACACUUGGUCCUCAUCGUUUACGGCGUGGACUACUAGGGUAUCUAAUCCUAUUUGCUCCCCACGCUUUCGUGCCUCAGCGUCAGUCAACAGGCCAGGCGGCCGCCUUCGCCACUGGUGUUCUUCCAUAUAUCUACGCAUUUUACCGCUACACAUGGAGUUCCACCGCCCUCUCCUGCUCUCUAGCCCGCCAGUUUCCAGAGCCUGUACCGGUUGAGCCGGUACCUUUCACUCCAGACUUAGCAGGCCGCCUACGCACCCUUUACGCCCAAUCAUUCCGGAUAACGCUCGCCACCUACGUAUUACCGCGGCGGC
RNAcentral lists this unclassified non-coding RNA (400 nucleotides) under uncultured Erysipelotrichaceae bacterium. RNAcentral's name for it is "contains 16S-23S intergenic spacer region". The record is from RNAcentral. Lineage: Bacteria; Bacillati; Bacillota; Erysipelotrichia; Erysipelotrichales; Erysipelotrichaceae.